RNAcentral lists this long non-coding RNA (311 nucleotides) under Rattus norvegicus (Norway rat). RNAcentral's name for it is "long non-coding RNA NONRATT033015". The record is from RNAcentral. Lineage: Eukaryota; Metazoa; Chordata; Mammalia; Rodentia; Muridae.
UUUCGAUAUGGGGUGCGCCCAUUCUCCCAUGAUGCCUCUGACCUCUCUGACAUGCUUACCUGCUCAGAUCAAGAGAUUUUCUUAACAGUAUCACAGGACCAAAUCUCCAAAACAGCUCUUCCAAGAAAAACAAAAUUUGGGAGUGUGGGACUCACUGGGAAGAUAUCCAUGCUUCUGUAAAUGGCACCCAUGCAUUCUUCUGUAAGUAAUUCUACCUAACGUCACUGGAUGACACACCAAAUGACAUGACAGUAGACUGGAAAUUGGCAGAGAAGAGGAAAGAGAUCAUCAAGAACAAAAGGAGUCAGGAG